GACGAACGCUGGCGGCGUGCUUAACACAUGCAAGUCGAACGGAAAGGCCCUGCUUUUGUGGGGUGCUCGAGUGGCGAACGGGUGAGUAACACGUGAGUAACCUGCCCUUGACUUUGGGAUAACUUCAGGAAACUGGGGCUAAUACCGGAUAGGAGCUCCUGCUGCAUGGUGGGGGUUGGAAAGUUUCGGCGGUUGGGGAUGGACUCGCGGCUUAUCAGCUUGUUGGUGGGGUAGUGGCUUACCAAGGCUUUGACGGGUAGCCGGCCUGAGAGGGUGACCGGCCAAAUUGGGACUGAGAUACGGCCCAGACUCCUACUGGAGGCAGCAGUGGGGAAUAUUGCACAAUGGGCGGAAGCCUGAUGCAGCAACGCCGCGUGCGGGAUGACGGCCUUCGGGUUGUAAACCGCUUUCGCCUGUGACGAAGCGUGAGUGACGGUAAUGGGUAAAGAAGCACCGGCUAACUACGUG
This 468-nucleotide ribosomal RNA is filed under the name uncultured bacterium. RNAcentral's name for it is "partial 16S ribosomal RNA". It matches the Rfam family "Bacterial small subunit ribosomal RNA", at positions 28 to 507 of the family's 1533-position model. The record is from RNAcentral.